RNAcentral lists this ribosomal RNA (266 nucleotides) under uncultured archaeon. RNAcentral describes it as "partial 16S ribosomal RNA". It matches the Rfam family "Archaeal small subunit ribosomal RNA", at positions 717 to 982 of the family's 1478-position model. The record is from RNAcentral.
ACACGACUACAUUAGAUACCCGCGUAGUCCUAGCCGUAAACGAUACUCGCUAGGUGUCGGCCACGGUGCGACCGUUGUCGGUGCCGUAGGGAAGCCGUGAAAGCGAGCCACCUGGGAAGUACGGCCGCAAGGCUGAAACUUAAAGGAAUUGGCGGGGGAGCACCACAACGGGUGGAGCUUGCGGUUUAAUUGGAUUCAACGCCGGAAAUCUUACCGGGACCGACAGCAACAUGAAGGCCAGGCUGAAGACUUUGCCGGAUUAGCUG